Molecule: ribosomal RNA, 273 nt
Filed under: uncultured bacterium
Lineage: Bacteria
Description: partial 16S ribosomal RNA
Rfam family: Bacterial small subunit ribosomal RNA
Source: RNAcentral
AUACGGUGGGUGCAAGCGUUACUCGGAAUCACUGGGCGUAAAGCGCGCGCAGGCGGCUAUUUAAGUUGGAUGUGAAAGCCUACGGCUCAACCAUAGAACUGCAUCCAAAACUAUUUAGCUAGAGUGUGGGAGAGGAAGAUGGAAUUAGUUGUGUAGGGGUAAAAUCCGUAGAGAUAACUAGGAAUACCAAAAGCGAAGGCAAUCUUCUGGAACACUACUGACGCUGAGGCGCGAAAGCGUGGGGAGCAAACAGGAUUAGAAACCCUAUAGUCC